UCCGGGUUAGCUCAACGGUAGAGCGGGUGGCUGUUAACCACUAGGUUGGGGGUUCGAAUCCCUCACCCGGAGCCA
Molecule: transfer RNA, 75 nt
Filed under: Petrotoga mobilis SJ95
Lineage: Bacteria; Thermotogati; Thermotogota; Thermotogae; Petrotogales; Petrotogaceae
Also listed under: 13 other names
Description: tRNA-Asn (GTT) (tRNA-Asn-GTT-1-1)
Rfam family: tRNA
About the family: Transfer RNA (tRNA) molecules are approximately 80 nucleotides in length.
Source: RNAcentral